CUAGUUUUCUUCCACCAUCCGCACCAUAUCCCCAGACUAUUAUGUUAACUAAUCACACACCUGCUCACCACUGCCAAUGCCCUCAUUCCAGUAAACUGGAAAAAAACAGGAGCCCUCACAAUGAGAGAAUGGAUCAAUAAGGUGGAGUCCGUCCACCUCUUAGAGGAGGUGCAUUCUUCCCUAACACAUACAUAUGACAAGUACGAAAAGACUUGGGGCCCCUGGACGCGCUCUCUCACACACCCCAGCCAAGCGCCAAGCCAGUGGUCAGGUGGUAAACCCACAGUACGACCCGUUUUCAAUGAUUAGAGGCCACAUUACGUAGGCAUGAAUAGCAUUGACCCACUAUCUCCUGUCUCGGCUUUACUGCCGAAUGAAUAGG
Non-coding RNA from Pelobates cultripes (western spadefoot toad), 382 nucleotides. The record is from the annotation of a GenBank genome assembly. Lineage: Eukaryota; Metazoa; Chordata; Amphibia; Anura; Pelobatidae.